This 495-nucleotide ribosomal RNA is filed under the name uncultured bacterium. RNAcentral describes it as "partial 16S ribosomal RNA". It matches the Rfam family "Bacterial small subunit ribosomal RNA", at positions 28 to 507 of the family's 1533-position model. The record is from RNAcentral.
GACGAACGCUGGCGGCGUGCCUAAUACAUGCAAGUAGAACGCUGAAGGAGGAGCUUGCUUCUCCGGAUGAGUUGCGAACGGGUGAGUAACGCGUAGGUAACCUGCCUGGUAGCGGGGGAUAACUAUUGGAAACGAUAGCUAAUACCGCAUAAGAGUAGAUGUCGCAUGACAUUUGCUUAAAAGGUGCAACUGCACCACUACCAGAUGGACCUGCGUUGUAUUAGCUAGUUGGUGAGGUAACGGCUCACCAAGGCAACGAUACAUAGCCGACCUGAGAGGGUGAUCGGCCACACUGGGACUGAGACACGGCCCAGACUCCUACGGGAGGCAGCAGUAGGGAAUCUUCGGCAAUGGACGGAAGUCUGACCGAGCAACGCCGCGUGAGUGAAGAAGGUUUUCGGGUCGUAAAGCUCUGUUGUAAGGGAAGAAAGAGUGUGUGGGUAGAAAGUUCACACUGUGACGGUAUCUUACCAGAAAGCGACGGCUAACUACGUG